This 455-nucleotide ribosomal RNA is filed under the name Phycomenes siankaanensis. RNAcentral's name for it is "partial large subunit ribosomal RNA". It matches the Rfam family "Archaeal large subunit ribosomal RNA", at positions 2005 to 2666 of the family's 2987-position model. The record is from RNAcentral. Lineage: Eukaryota; Metazoa; Arthropoda; Malacostraca; Decapoda; Palaemonidae.
GGGCCGCGGUAAUCUAGACCGUGCGAAGGUAGCAUAGUCAAUAGUCUUUUAAUUGGAGGCUUGAAUGAACGGCUGGAUGAGGGACACACUGUCUUUUCUUAUUUACCGAAUUUAACUUUUAAGUGAAAAGGCUUAAAUUUACCAGUGGGACGAUAAGACCCUAUAAAAUUUUAUGCUCGCUUAGUUGAUUUAAUAAUUUUUUCUAAAUUUAUCUCCCGGGUGGCAUUUUGUUGGGGAGACAAUGAUAUAAUUCUAACUGUUAUUAUAAAGCUAAUAGCCUUCGUUAGUUUCCGAUCCUGUUCUAUAGAUUUUAAGAUUAAAUUACUUUAGGGAUAACAGCGUGAUUUUCCUUGAGAGUUCUUAUCGACAGGAGUAGUUGCGACCUCGAUGUUGAAUUAAAAUGUUAAGCAGGUGUAGCAGCUUGUUCAGUGGGUCUGUUCGACCUUUAAAAUUUU